CCUACGGGAGGCAGCAGUGAGGAAUAUUGGUCAAUGGGCGCGAGCCUGAACCAGCCAAGUCGCGUGAGGGAAGACGGUCCUAUGGAUUGUAAACCUCUUUUGUCGGGGAGCAAAAGACGCCACGCGUGGCGUUCUGAAAGUACCCUAAGAAUAAGCAUCGGCUAACUCCGUGCCAGCAGCCGCGGUAAUACGGAGGAUGCGAGCGUUAUCCGGAUUUAUUGGGUUUAAAGGGUGCGUAGGCGGACGAUCAAGUCAGCGGUAAAAUUGGGGGGCUAAACCUCUUCGAGCAGUUGAAACUGGUUGUCUUGAGUGAGUGAGAGGUAGGCGGAAUGCGUGGUGUAGCGGUGAAAUGCAUAGAUAUCACGCAGAACUCCGAUUGCGAAGGCAGCAUACCGGCGCUCAACUGACGCUCAUGCACGAAAGUGUGGGUAUCGAACAGGAUUAGAUACCCCUGUAGUC
This 459-nucleotide ribosomal RNA is filed under the name uncultured bacterium. RNAcentral describes it as "partial 16S ribosomal RNA". It matches the Rfam family "Bacterial small subunit ribosomal RNA", at positions 338 to 795 of the family's 1533-position model. The record is from RNAcentral.